GGAAUAUUGGACAAUGGAGGCAACUCUGAUCCAGCCAUCCCGCGUGCCGGAUGAAGGCCCUAUGGGUUGUACACGGCUUUUAUGAGGGAAGAACUAAGUCUAUUCAUAGAUUUUUGACGGUACCUCAGGAAUAAGCACCGGCUAACUCCGUGCCAGCAGCCGCGGUAAUACGGAGGGUGCAAGCGUUAUCCGGAAUCACUGGGUUUAAAGGGUGCGUAGGCGGCGCAAUAAGUCAGGGGUGAAAGGUCACGGCUCAACCGUGGAAUUGCCUUUGAUACUGUUGAGCUUGAAUCAGGUUGAGGUUGGCGGAAUGUGGCAUGUAGCGGUGAAAUGCAUAGAUAUGCCAUAGAACACCGAUUGCGAAGGCAGCUGGCUAGGCCUUGAUUGACGCUGAGGCACGAAAGCGUGGGGAGCGAAC
Molecule: ribosomal RNA, 418 nt
Filed under: uncultured bacterium
Lineage: Bacteria
Description: bacterial SSU rRNA
Rfam family: Bacterial small subunit ribosomal RNA
Source: RNAcentral